RNAcentral lists this ribosomal RNA (130 nucleotides) under Thalassiosira sp. RCC4838. Its description in RNAcentral is "partial 18S ribosomal RNA". It matches the Rfam family "Eukaryotic small subunit ribosomal RNA", at positions 1702 to 1831 of the family's 1831-position model. The record is from RNAcentral. Lineage: Eukaryota; Bacillariophyta; Thalassiosirophyceae; Thalassiosirales; Thalassiosiraceae.
UGAAGACUCGGGAUUGUGGUUUGGCUCCUUCAUUGGGGCCUGACCGCGAGAACUUGUCUAAACCUUAUCAUUUAGAGGAAGGUGAAGUCGUAACAAGGUUUCCGUAGGUGAACCUGCGGAAGGAUCAUUA